CCUACGGGUGGCUGCAGUGAGGAAUAUUGGUCAAUGGGCUUACGCCUGAACCAGCCAAGUCGCGUGAGGGAAGACUGCCCUAUGGGUUGUAAACCUCUUUUGUCAGGGAGCAAUUGGCGCUACGUGUAGCGUUAUCGAGAGUACCUGAAGAAAAAGCCUCGGCUAACUACGUGCCAGCAGCCGCGGUAAUACGUAGGCGGCGAGCGUUAUCCGGAAUGACUGGGCGUAAAGGGUGCGUAGGUGGUUUUGCAAGUUAGUAGCGUAACUCCAAGGCUCAAACUUGGAACUACUAAUAAAACUGUUGGACUUGAGUGCAGGAGGGGCAACCGGAAUUCCUAGUGUAGCGGUGGAAUGCGUAGAUAUUAGGAGGAACACCAGUGGCGAAGGCGGGUUGCUAGACUGUAACUGACACUGAGGCACGAAAGCGUGGGGAGCAAACAGGAUUAGAUACCCUAGUAGUC
This 461-nucleotide ribosomal RNA is filed under the name uncultured bacterium. Its description in RNAcentral is "partial 16S ribosomal RNA". It matches the Rfam family "Bacterial small subunit ribosomal RNA", at positions 338 to 795 of the family's 1533-position model. The record is from RNAcentral.